This 230-nucleotide ribosomal RNA is filed under the name uncultured bacterium. RNAcentral describes it as "partial 16S ribosomal RNA". It matches the Rfam family "Bacterial small subunit ribosomal RNA", at positions 565 to 791 of the family's 1533-position model. The record is from RNAcentral.
GCGUGCGCAGGCGGUUUUUGUAAGACUGUCGUGAAAUCCCCCGGGCUCAACCUGGGAAUGGCGAUGGUGACUGCAAGGCUAGAGUUUGGCAGGAGGGGGGUAGAAUUCCACGUGUAGCAGUGAAAUGCGUAGAUAUGUGGAGGAACACCGAUGGCGAAGGCAGCCCCCUGGGUCAAAACUGACGCUCAUGCACGAAAGCGUGGGGAGCAAACAGGAUUAGAUACCCUAGU